UACAGAGGUCCCGAGCGUUGUCCGGAAUCACUGGGCGUAAAGGGCGCGUAGGCGGCGCGGAAAGUCAACGGUGAAAGCUUGGGGCUCAACCCCGAGUCGGCCGUCGAUACUUCCGUGCUCGAGCACUGUAGAGGCAGGUGGAAUUCCGGGUGUAGCGGUGGAAUGCGUAGAGAUCCGGAAGAACACCGGUGGCGAAGGCGGCCUGCUGGGCAGUAGCUGACGCUGAUGCGCGACAGCGUGGGGAGCAAACAGG
This 253-nucleotide ribosomal RNA is filed under the name uncultured bacterium. Its description in RNAcentral is "partial 16S ribosomal RNA". It matches the Rfam family "Bacterial small subunit ribosomal RNA", at positions 524 to 776 of the family's 1533-position model. The record is from RNAcentral.